CAGCAGUAGCCGCGGUAAUACGGAGGGUGCAAGCGUUAUCCGGAUUCACUGGGUUUAAAGGGUGCGUAGGCGGAUCUGUAAGUCAGUGGUGAAAUCUCCAGGCUUAACCUGGAAACUGCGGUGGAUACUAUUAGUCUUGAAUACUGUGGAGGUUAGCGGAAUAUGUCAUGUAGCGGUGAAAUGCAUAGAUAUGACCUAGAACACCAAUUGCGAAGGCAGCUGGCUACACAGAUAUUGACGCUGAGGCACGAAAGCGUGGGGAUCAAACAGGAUUAGAUACCCCAGUAGUCCCUGUCUCUUAUAC
This 304-nucleotide ribosomal RNA is filed under the name uncultured bacterium. RNAcentral's name for it is "partial 16S ribosomal RNA". It matches the Rfam family "Bacterial small subunit ribosomal RNA", at positions 506 to 807 of the family's 1533-position model. The record is from RNAcentral.